Molecule: ribosomal RNA, 687 nt
Filed under: Boletus reticuloceps
Lineage: Eukaryota; Fungi; Basidiomycota; Agaricomycetes; Boletales; Boletaceae
Description: eukaryotic LSU rRNA
Rfam family: 5.8S ribosomal RNA (bases 206-360)
Source: RNAcentral
UCGAAUCCUACCAGGGAGGGAGGGAAGAUGGGACAAAGGAGUCAAGGCUGUCGCCGGCAACGUGCACGCCUUCCUUGUUCCGUGGACCCCCCUUUCUAGUUUCCUUAUCCGCCUGUGCACCCUUUGUAGGCCCUCGAAAGAGGAUCUACGUUUUCUCUAUAUACGCUUUUUGCUACACAUGUCCAGAAUGUAUACAAACUUUUACAACUUUCAGCAAUGGAUCUCUUGGCUCUCGCAUCGAUGAAGAACGCAGCGAAUUGCGAUAAGUAAUGUGAAUUGCAGAUUUUCAGUGAAUCAUCGAAUCUUUGAACGCACCUUGCGCUCCUUGGUAUUCCGAGGAGCAUGCCUGUUUGAGUGUCAUCGAAUUCUCAACCAUGUCCUUGAAUUAGGCAUGGCUUGGACUUGGGGGUUGCUGGCACACUGUCAGCUCUCCUGAAAUGCAUUAGCGAUGGUCAGCAAGCCUGAACGUGCACGGCCUUUUCGACGUGAUAACGAUCGUCGUGGGCUGGAGCGUAGGGCGAGCGGUGAAUCGCUUACAAUCCUCUGACCCAAGCCUCAGUUACUAGUCGGUCGUGAGGCCAACGAACACGGGGCCCAAGUCAAUCUUGAUCCUUGGACCCAAGCCUUAGUUACUAGUCGGUCGUGAGGCCGACGAAUGCAGGGCCUAGGUUAGGACCAUUUGAACUC